GACGAACGCUGGCGGCAUGCCUAAUACAUGCAAGUCGAGCGAACAGAUGAAGUGCUUGCACUUCUGACGUUAGCGGCGAACGGGUGAGUAACACGUAAGGAAUCUACCUAUAAGCGGGGGAUAACAUUCGGAAACGGGUGCUAAUACCGCAUAAUAUCUUCUUCCGCAUGGAAGAAGAUUGAAAGACGGCUCUGCUGUCACUUAUAGAUGACCUUGCGGUGCAUUAGUUAGUUGGUGGGGUAAUGGCCUACCAAGACGAUGAUGCAUAGCCGACCUGAGAGGGUUAUCGGCUACAUUGGGACUGAGACACGGCCCAAACACCUACGGGAGGCAGCAGUAGGGAAUCUUCCGCAAUGGGCGAAAGCCUGACGGAGCAAUGCCGCGUGAGUGAAGAAGGCCUUCGGGUCGAAAAACUCUGUUAUAAGAGAAGAACAAAUUGUAGAGUAACUGCUACAGUCUUGACGGUAUCUUAUCAGAAAGCCACGGCUAACUACGUGCCAGCCGCCGCCGUAA
This 513-nucleotide ribosomal RNA is filed under the name uncultured bacterium. Its description in RNAcentral is "partial 16S ribosomal RNA". It matches the Rfam family "Bacterial small subunit ribosomal RNA", at positions 28 to 523 of the family's 1533-position model. The record is from RNAcentral.